GCCAGUGUGGCAUACUGGUUUGAGUAUUGGAUUACAAAUCUGGAGGCCGGGGUUCAAUACCGAGCUCUGCCA
Phrynosoma platyrhinos (Desert horned lizard) is the source of this 72-nucleotide non-coding RNA. NCBI's taxonomy places the organism in Eukaryota, Metazoa, Chordata, Lepidosauria, Squamata, Phrynosomatidae. The record is from the annotation of a GenBank genome assembly.